ACUCAAAGGAAUAGACGGGUCCCCGCACAAGCAGCGGAGCGUGUGGUUUAAUUCGUUGCUACACGAAGAACCUUACCUGGGUUUGACAUAGCAGUGUUAGGGAAGCGAAAGCAGACCGACCCUUCGGGGAACUGUUACAGGUGUUGCAUGGCUGUCGUCAGCUCGUGUCGUGAGAUGUUCGGUUAAGUCCGCUAACGAGCGCAACCCUCGCUGUGUGUUACAAGUGUCACACGGUACUGCCGGUAUUAAGUCGGAGGAAGGUGGGGAUGACGUCAAGUCAGCAUGACCUUUAUAUCCAGGGCUACACACACGCUACAAUGGUCAGUACAAUAGGUUGCCAAGCCGCGAGGCGGAGCCAAUCCUAAAAAGCUGGCCUCAGUUCAGAUUGCAGUCUGCAACUCGACUGCAUGAAGUUGGAGUUGCUAGUAACCGCAGGUCAGCUAUACUGCGGUGAAUACGUUCCCGGGGAUUGUACACACCGCCCGU
This 486-nucleotide ribosomal RNA is filed under the name uncultured bacterium. RNAcentral's name for it is "bacterial SSU rRNA". It matches the Rfam family "Bacterial small subunit ribosomal RNA", at positions 899 to 1397 of the family's 1533-position model. The record is from RNAcentral.